AAAAACUGUCUUUAUGGUGAAAUUUGAAAUUUACCUUUAAGUGAAAAGGCUUAAAUGUUUCAGGGGGACGAUAAGACCCUAUAAAGCUUUAUAAAUAAUUUAGAUUUAGUUGAUUUAUACUUAUAAUAGUUAAGUUUAAUUAUUUUAUUUUAUUGGGGUGAUAUGAGUACAAUUAUUGUAACUGCUUAGUAGUAGUUCUGUUAUAGUAGAAUUAAACAAGUGAAUGAUCCUUAGAUUAAGAUUAUAAGACUAAGUUACUUUAGGGAUAACAGCGUUAUUUUUCUUGAGAGUUCUUAUUGAAAGAGAAGAUUGCGACCUCGAUGUUGAAUUAAAAUAUCUAUAUGAUGCAGCAGUCAUAAAAGAGGGUCUGUUCGACCUUUAAAUUUUUACAUGAUUUGAGUUCAAACCGGA
RNAcentral lists this ribosomal RNA (411 nucleotides) under Paraxanthias pachydactylus. RNAcentral's name for it is "partial 16S ribosomal RNA". The stretch from base 265 to 411 matches the Rfam family "Bacterial large subunit ribosomal RNA", at positions 2473 to 2620 of the family's 2925-position model. Lineage: Eukaryota; Metazoa; Arthropoda; Malacostraca; Decapoda; Xanthidae. The record is from RNAcentral.